AACGAACGCUGGCGGCAUGCCUAACACAUGCAAGUCGAACGAGACCUUCGGGUCUAGUGGCGCACGGGUGCGUAACGCGUGGGAACCUGCCCUUAGGUUCGGAAUAACUCCCCGAAAGGGGUGCUAAUACCGGAUAAUGUCUUCGGACCAAAGAUUUAUCGCCUUUGGAUGGGCCCGCGUUGUAUUAGCUAGUUGGUAGGGUAAAAGCCUACCAAGGCGACGAUCCAUAGCUGGUCUGAGAGGAUGAUCAGCCACACUGGGACUGAGACACGGCCCAGACUCCUACGGGAGGCAGCAGUGGGGAAUAUUGGACAAUGGGCGAAAGCCUGAUCCAGCAAUGCCGCGUGAGUGAUGAAGGCCUUAGGGUUGUAAAGCUCUUUUACCCGGGAUGAUAAUGACAGUACCGGGAGAAUAAGCUCCGGCUAACUCCGU
This 432-nucleotide ribosomal RNA is filed under the name uncultured bacterium. RNAcentral describes it as "partial 16S ribosomal RNA". It matches the Rfam family "Bacterial small subunit ribosomal RNA", at positions 29 to 506 of the family's 1533-position model. The record is from RNAcentral.